Zea mays is the source of this 3019-nucleotide RNA transcript. It is a transcript of the gene named Serine/threonine-protein phosphatase 2A 65 kDa regulatory subunit A, with no coding region annotated. Lineage: Eukaryota; Viridiplantae; Streptophyta; Magnoliopsida; Poales; Poaceae. The record is from RefSeq and is marked validated. The transcript is spliced from 13 exons.
AAACAAAUAAAAAGGAGAGUGAAAGAAAAAGAACAAAAAAAGGGAAUAGCCAAAUGCGGCUCAGGAGAAGGCCCCGUGUGGCCGUGUGAGCUUCCCCCGGCCCGAACGGCAGUCCCCCGCAUUCCCCUAACGUUCAAUCGCGUACCGUCGCUCGCCGUAUUCCCCUGCCGCGCACAGUUCACUCGCGCACCUCUCGCCCCCUCGCUCUACGACGACUAGUGGGCCGCCGGCGCUGGCGCCGCCUUACGCCAGGUGCCGAGGUCUUCGUUGAUCUCUUCGCCGGCGACGAGCACCCACCAGCUGGGAAAAAAUCUAUAGCCAAACAUAAUAAUGGCUAUGAUUGAUGAACCUCUCUACCCGAUUGCUGUACUGAUUGAUGAACUGAAAAAUGAAGAUAUUCAGUUGCGCCUUAACUCCAUCAAAAAGCUUUCUACAAUUGCCCGGGCAUUGGGUGAAGAAAGAACAAGGAAAGAGCUGAUUCCAUUCCUUAGUGAAAACAACGAUGAUGAAGAUGAGGUGCUUCUUGCAAUGGCAGAAGAGUUGGGCGUUUUUAUUCCUUAUGUUGGAGGAGUAGAGCAUGCACAUGUUUUGCUUCCACCACUGGAAACAUUGUGUACUGUGGAGGAGACCUGCGUCAGAGACAAGGCUGUGGAAUCACUUUGUCAGAUAGGAGCACAGAUGAAGGAAAAUGAUAUUGUGGACUGGUUUGCCCAUGUCGUAAAGAGGUUGGCGGUAGGUGAGUGGUUUACAGCUCGAGUUUCUUCAUGUGGCCUUUUUCAUAUCGCCUAUCCUAGUGCACCUGAACAACUGAAGGCAGAACUGAGGACAAUUUAUGGCCAGUUAUGUCAAGACGACAUGCCUAUGGUACGGAGAGCUGCUGCAUCCAAUCUUGGGAAGUUCGCUGCAACAGUGGAACAAAGUCAUUUGAAGACAGAAAUCAUGUCAAUGUUUGAUGAUCUAACUCAAGAUGACCAAGAUUCAGUGCGACUAUUGGCAGUUGAGGGUUGUGCUGCUCUUGGGAAGUUGUUGGAGCCCCAAGAUUGUGCAGCACAUAUUCUCCCAGUUAUUGUAAAUUUCUCUCAGGAUAAAUCUUGGCGUGUGCGCUAUAUGGUGGCAAAUCAACUGUAUGAACUAUGUGAAGCUGUUGGUACUGAACCCACAAGGGGUGAUCUGGUGUCAGCGUAUGUUCGCCUUCUCUGUGACAAUGAGGCUGAAGUGCGGAUUGCAGCUGCUGGAAAAGUUACAAAAUUCUGCAAAAUAUUAAACCCACAAAUUGCAAUUGAACAUAUUCUUCCGUGUAUCAAGGAAUUAUCAUCAGAUUCAUCUCAGCAUGUUCGUUCAGCUUUGGCAUCGGUUAUUAUGGGAAUGGCUCCUGUAUUGGGAAAGGACGCCACUCUUGAACAACUGCUUCCCAUUUUUCUUUCUUUGCUGAAGGAUGAGUUCCCUGAUGUUCGACUCAACAUUAUAAGCAAACUUGAUCAAGUUAACCAGGUUAUUGGAAUUGACUUGUUGUCGCAAUCACUUCUGCCAGCCAUUGUAGAGCUCUCUGAAGAUAGGCACUGGAGAGUUCGGCUUGCCAUAAUUGAGUACAUACCUUUGUUGGCCAGCCAGUUAGGUGUUGGUUUUUUUGAUGACAAGUUAGGGGCACUUUGCAUGCAGUGGUUGGAAGAUAAGGUUUUCUCGAUCAGAGAUGCUGGUGCCAAUAAUUUAAAGCGUUUGACAGAGGAAUUUGGCCCUGAGUGGGCGAUGCAACAUAUAAUUCCUCAGGUUAUAUGCGCAAAACCCAUGCACAUCAUCUCUUAUGCGAGGGCGACAAUGGAGUCUUCUGUGAAAGGGCCUCUAGCUGAGAUGGUUAGGUGGUCUGGGUAGCACUCCUUAGGUCCUGACUCCUGAGUUCGAAUCCCUGUGGGAGCGGAUUUCAGGUUGAGCUUAAAAAAGGUCACUCGCUGUUCCCCGUUGUGUGCACAUGAGAUGGACUGAUCUAUGGAGGGCGGAUCCUUGUGUAGGGGUUGGGAGGGCUUGAAGCAUGAGUAAAGAUCCGGGCCUAUAGGGGGGUGCACCCUCAUGCUGCACGGGGGACCAUCUUUCGUGACCUUGGGGGAGGUAUUUCCUCUACCGGCCAAGACAAGGAGUCUCCUUUGCGCCCCUUCCGAUUCUUGCGUGUUCAUAAAGAAAUCUAGGAAAGAAGUGUUACAGAAGUGUUAGGCACACACUAGAUGGGUGGCACCUAUCAUGUAUUGUCUAGCACCUAAGUUGGUUGCUUAGAUGGACGGCUCUAACAUGGUUGUUUGGCACCUGGUGCCUAGGGUGAGCCGGUGAGCUAGAUGGUCUGUACAUUGGUUGUGAUAAUAUUUCACUGAAUAACUCAGUUCCGGAACCUAAGCUGAUUUUAUGCUAGACUAAGUUGUUAUGACAUCAGACUGGACCUUGCAUACCCCCAAAUAGGAGGAUACAACAACAUUUUUUUUUGCAUUAAAGCAGGGUAAAGAGGGUAUUGGAAUAAAAUUUACUCAUGGUUAAUUAAUUAUAUCAACAGAUUGAUUGAAAAUCUUUAUAUUGUCAAAUCUCUUUUAUAUUCUAGGUUUUGGAGAAGAUAAACAACCCACAUUAUCUGUAUCGGAUGACCACUUUGCAAGCUAUUUCUUUGCUAGCUCCUGUCAUGGGUCCUGAUAUCACAUGCCAACAGUUGCUCCCUGUCGUCAUUGCUUCUUCAAAGGACAGGGUUCCGAACAUGAAAUUCAAUGUUGCUAAAGUCCUGCAAUCACUUGUACCAAUCCUUGACCAAUCUGUUGUGGAGAAGACAGUGAAACCAUGCCUAGUUGAGCUCAGUGAGGACCCAGAUGUAGAUGUAAGAUACUACGCACACCAAGCCCUUCGGGCGUGUGACCAAAUGGUGAUAUCUAGUUGACUAGCCUGUCCAGGAAUUAGCAAAUGAGAUACAUAUUGGUCUAUUCUUUUUGAACAUUUUAAAGUGUUAUGUAGUCUUAAAAAUUAUUGUACCACCAAUGAAGUUGAUGCA